Molecule: non-coding RNA, 104 nt
Organism: Callithrix jacchus (white-tufted-ear marmoset)
Lineage: Eukaryota; Metazoa; Chordata; Mammalia; Primates; Cebidae
Source: Rfam
AUCCUUUUGUAAUACAUAACCAUGAUGAUUAGGUUUUUAUGUUCAUAUGUUAGAUAUACCUCCCUCAAAUCCUCUUAUGAUGUCAGCGCAUUACCCAUCUGACG